This 254-nucleotide ribosomal RNA is filed under the name uncultured bacterium. RNAcentral describes it as "partial 16S ribosomal RNA". It matches the Rfam family "Bacterial small subunit ribosomal RNA", at positions 524 to 776 of the family's 1533-position model. The record is from RNAcentral.
GACGAACCAAGCAAACGUUGUUCGGAAUCACUGGGCUUAAAGGGCGCGUAGGCGGUCUGUCAAGUCGCGGGUGAAAUCUUUCGGCUCAACCGGAAAAUUGCCCGCGAUACUGAUGGGCUCGAGGAAGGUAGGGGCAGCGGGAACUUCCAGUGGAGCGGUGAAAUGCGUUGAUAUUGGAAGGAACGCCGGUGGCGAAAGCGCGCUGCUGGACCUUUUCUGACGCUGAGUGCGCGAAAGCCAGGGGAGCAAACGGG